Long non-coding RNA from Cyprinus carpio carpio, 1729 nucleotides. The record is from Ensembl. Lineage: Eukaryota; Metazoa; Chordata; Actinopteri; Cypriniformes; Cyprinidae.
GAGGAGUUCGAAAAAGUAGGUUUUCAACUUUAAUCAAAAUGGCGGACAGGAAGUAUGGCCAAUUUUGGAAUAAUUGGUAUCGAUGUUCUCGGCAUGACCCAAAGAAUAUAGGGAGACCACUUUCUUUUUAAUAGUCUAAUUUUUUCAAAAGUUAUUAGCAUUUUUUAGAUAUUUCAUUAUAACUUUUGACCACAAGGUGGCGCUGGCACCAAACUUUUUGAGUAGCUUCAGGGCAUGGAGCCAAACAUUUUUGUAAUUAUUUUCGUAACGAUACGAUAAUGCGUUCAAAAAAUACAGCAUUUUAAAACAUAAUUCAAAAUGGCCGACACCUAAAAUGGCCGACACGGGAAAAUUGGAUAUCAUUCGACUUGCCAUGACCCACCGAAUCUAAUGAGACCAGUUUUGUGAUUUUUGGCCAAACCAUUCAGAAGUUAUAAGCAAAAAUAUGCAUUUUUCAUAUCUCCUGACCACUAGGUGGCGCUGCGUCGAAACACUGCAGGUAGUCUCAGGUCAUGCUUGUUAUAACACGCACCAAGUUUGGUCUCAAUACGCCAAACCGUUGCGGAGUUAUAGCCUCACAAGCAUUUUUGCGUGCUUUUCGUAGAAUUUUUUCACGUGUUAUUCGAGAACGGUUGGACGAAUCAACUUGAAUUCCAUAACUUUUUGCCAGCAUCAUCUGAAGAUGAUCUGAGCCAAUUUUCGUGAAAAUCGGACUAACCGUCUAGGACGAGUUCGAAAAAGUAGGUUUUUCGAACAAUUGAAAAUAGCGAAAAAACUAAACCUUGCGAUUUUUGAAUUUCGGGGUUCAUUCGACUUGGCCUGAGCCAAGGAUUCAGAGGAAAAAAGAAUUUUCAUUUUCUGGCUUACGGUUCAAAAGUUAUUAGCAUAAAAUUAUUGAAACUUUGGACAAGUGGUGGCGCUAGAGAGUUGGAGUUAGAGACUUCAAAUUUGCUACAGUUAAUGCAUGGACUGUCCUCUAUCAGUGUGCCAAAUUAUACAACUUUCCCGCAAUCGGUUCUAUGGGCUGCCAUAGACUUGCGGCGGAAGAAGAAGAAGAAGAAUAAUAUAGCUGCAAGCAGCAAUUACGGGGCCAAGCACUCCAGAGGCAAAUUGAAGAGCUAAACAUGGCAUGGAGCAACAGACCAACUGCAGAAAUGAGUAACUGAAGCAAUUUUAGGAUGACUGUAAUUGAAAUGGCUGAAAAAAACAUAAAUACAACCACUAGUAAUAUCAUUAAAUGGCUUAUCACUUUUGACCAACAGGUGGCGCUGUAAUCAAAUAGUUUUGGUGUGUGAGGUUUGAGGUGACAAUGUCACACACAAAGUUUGUUGUUAUUAUGUCAAAGCUUUGAAGAGAUGCAGGCUGAAGUGUCAUUUUGGCAUCAUGCCUGAAAUUUGUCACUGUGGUAUGCGAAAACGGUUUUGUCUAUCAAUACAAAAUCCAUAACAUUUUGUCAGCACAGUCUGAAGAUCAUCUGAUUCAAUUUUGGUGAAAAUCGGACCAACGGUUGAUGAGGAGUUCGAAAAAGUAGGUUUUCAACAUAAAUCAAAAUGGCGGAUAGGAAGUUCAGCUUACUCUGGCAUAUUUGGUAUCUAUGUUGUCGGCAUAAGCCAGGGAAUAUUUUGAGACCAAUUUCAUUGCAAUAGGCUAAUGCAAUAAAAAGUUAUUAGCAUUUUUAUAAGUGUAAUUUUUAAUGGUUAAUGAAUGGUUUAUAACUCUUGACCAAUAG